UCGAGUGGCAUCACUUGAUUAUUAAAGUUCCAACGGUAAAAGAUGAGCAUGCGUCCCAUUAGCUAGAUGGUAAGGUAACGGCUUACCAUGGCAACGAUGGGUAGGGGUCCUGAGAGGGAGAUCCCCCACACUGGUACUGAGACACGGACCAGACUCCUACGGGAGGCAGCAGUGAGGAAUAUUGGUCAAUGGGCGCAAGCCUGAACCAGCCAUGCCGCGUGCAGGAUGACGGUCCUAUGGAUUGUAAACUGCUUUUAUACGAGAAGAAACACUCCUUCGUGAAGGAGCUUGACGGUAUCGUAAGAAUAAGGAUCGGCUAACUCCGUGCCAGCAGCCGCGGUAAUACGGAGGAUCCAAGCGUUAUCCGGAAUCAUUGGGUUUAAAGGGUCCGUAGGCGGUUAGAUAAGUCAGUGGUGAAAGCCCAUCGCUCAACGGUGGAACGGCCAUUGAUACUGUUUAACUUGAAUUAUUAGGAAGUAACUAGAAUAUGUAGUGUAGCGGUGAAAUGCUUAGAGAUUACAUGGAAUACCAAUUGCGAAGGCAGGUUACUACUAAUGGAUUGACGCUGAUGGACGAAAGCGUGGGUAGCGAACAGGAUUAGAUACCCUGGUAGUCCACGCCGUAAACGAUGGAUACUAGCUGUUGGGAGCAAUCUCAGUGGCUAAGCGAAAGUGAUAAGUAUCCCACCUGGGGAGUACGUUC
This 702-nucleotide ribosomal RNA is filed under the name uncultured Bacteroidota bacterium. RNAcentral's name for it is "bacterial SSU rRNA". It matches the Rfam family "Bacterial small subunit ribosomal RNA", at positions 181 to 887 of the family's 1533-position model. The record is from RNAcentral. Lineage: Bacteria; Pseudomonadati; Bacteroidota.